AUGAUUAUGGCGAAAUCGGUAAACGCAAUUAAUUUAGGUUUAAUCCUUUAUGGGUUCAAAUCCCAUUAAUCAUA
This 74-nucleotide transfer RNA is filed under the name Candida viswanathii. RNAcentral describes it as "tRNA-Leu". It matches the Rfam family "tRNA". From Rfam's summary of the family: Transfer RNA (tRNA) molecules are approximately 80 nucleotides in length. Their secondary structure includes four short double-helical elements and three loops (D, anti-codon, and T loops). The record is from RNAcentral. Lineage: Eukaryota; Fungi; Ascomycota; Pichiomycetes; Serinales; Debaryomycetaceae.